RNAcentral lists this ribosomal RNA (841 nucleotides) under uncultured bacterium. RNAcentral describes it as "bacterial SSU rRNA". It matches the Rfam family "Bacterial small subunit ribosomal RNA", at positions 8 to 855 of the family's 1533-position model. The record is from RNAcentral.
AGAGUUUGAUCCUGGCCAAGGAUGAACAAGGUAGGCGUGAACUAGGUAUGCAAGUUUGACUAUGGCCCUUUGUAACAAUACAGAGGUUUCUUAGGGGCUAAAGUUUGAUUAUGGCGUUGUUGAACUGCCGUAAAGGGUGAAUUAACGGUUCCUAAGGUCUGUUCAUACCAUAUGGGGUCGUAGUGUUUAGAACUGGAUGACUUUUUACAAAAUGCGCUUUGGGAGGGACCUGCGUCCCAUCAGCUGGUUGGUGAGGUAACGGCUCACCAAGGCUACGACGGGUAGGGGACCUGAGAGGGUGGUCCCCCACACUGGCACUGAAACACGGGCCAGACACCUACGGGUGGCAGCAGUAGGGAAUAUUGGGCAAUGGGCGAAAGCCUGACCCAGCAACGCCGCGUGCACGAUGAAGGUCUUCGGAUCGUAAAGUGCUUUUCUGAGAGAUGAGAAAGGACAGUAUCUCAGGAAUAAGUCUCGGCUAACUACGUGCCAGCAGCCGCGGUAAAACGUAGGAGGCAAGCGUUAUCCGGAUUUACUGGGCGUAAAGCGUGUGCAGGUGGUUUGGUAAGUUGGAUGUGAAAGCUCCCGGCUCAACUGGGAGAGGUCGUUCAAUACUACCAGACUUGAGAGCAGUAGAGGGAGGUGGAAUUCCCGGUGUAGUGGUGAAAUGCGUAGAUAUCGGGAGGAACACCAGUGGCGAAAGCGGCCUCCUGGACUGUUUCUGACACUCAGACACGAAAGCUAGGGUAGCAAACGGGAUUAGAGACCCCGGUAGUCCUAGCUGUAAACGAUGUGAACUUGGCGUCCGGCGGGGUUCAAAGCCCGUCGGUGCCGAAGCUAA